RNAcentral lists this ribosomal RNA (513 nucleotides) under uncultured bacterium. Its description in RNAcentral is "bacterial SSU rRNA". It matches the Rfam family "Bacterial small subunit ribosomal RNA", at positions 8 to 526 of the family's 1533-position model. The record is from RNAcentral.
AGAGUUUGAUCCUGGCUCAGGACGAACGCUGGCGGCGUGCCUAACACAUGCAAGUCGAACGGGACUGGGGGCAACUCCAGUUCAGUGGCGGACGGGUGCGUAACACGUGAGGAACAUGACUUUCGGUGGGGGAUAGCCGGCCCAACGGCCGGGUAAUACCGCGUACGACCUGUCGGGGACAUCCCCGGUUGGUGAAAGCAGCAAUGCGCCGAAAGAGUGCCUCGCGGCCUAUCAGCUAGUUGGUGGGGUAAUGGCCCACCAAGGCGACGACGGGUAGCUGGUCUGAGAGGAUGGCCAGCCACAUUGGGACUGAGACACGGCCCAGACUCCUACGGGAGGCAGCAGUGGGGAAUAUUGCGCAAUGGGCGAAAACCUGACGCAGCGACGCCGCGUGUGGGAUGACGGCCUUCGGGUUGUAAACCACUGUCGGGAGGGACGAAUGCGCCGCAAGGCGAGUGACGGUACCUCCAAAGGAAGCACCGGCUAACUCCGUGCCAGCAGCCGCGGUAAUAC